Molecule: long non-coding RNA, 2062 nt
Organism: Coregonus clupeaformis (lake whitefish)
Lineage: Eukaryota; Metazoa; Chordata; Actinopteri; Salmoniformes; Salmonidae
Exons: 3
Source: RefSeq, a predicted model, not a curated record
GGAUCUGCGUCGGGAAAGUCGUAUUCCUGGUCGUAAUGCUGCGUCACCACCAACAGUGACUUGGUCCUGAGAGCAGUGAAUGCUGGGAUACAAUGCAGGGAUAACGCCUCCAUCAUGAACGCAGUUGGAUGCUGUGGCCUCCAGGGGCCGUAAGAUGUUUGAACCCCCCAGGUAUAUGACCGUGAGCCAGGCAGCUGAGCAGCUCCUGGAGAUGGAACAACACAGGAGGUAGCGUGGGGAUGACCUAGGUGAGUGGCUAACAUGCUGUACAUUAUGAAUUAGUGGUUACAGUUAUCCAGUCCCAUCCCUCAGCUUUAUAGUAAACCAUGUGGCAGGGCUGCCAUUUCGUUGUUAUUCGAAUGAAGUAGUGGGCCUUUAAUGUGAGCACACAUCAAAGCAAUACUACUGAUUUUGUCUCUCUCCCUCCCUCCAGCCAUCAGUGAGGUAUGCGUGGGUCUGGCCAGGGUGGGAGCCGAGGACCAGGCCAUCCACACGGGGAUGCUCCGCCAGCGGGCGUCAUGUGACCUGGGCGGCCCACUACACUCCAUGACCGUGACGGGUCACCUGCACCCGCUGGAGGAAGACAUGCUACGUCUGUCAGCCGCCACCCCCGACAUACUGCAGGACCUCCGCAUGACUGACAGCUCAACGUACAGCUCCUAAUGCACACACCCCAUCUCAAGACUGACUCUCAGGAUCUCUGAAGGUUCUCCACAAAGACAGUCUGAGACAGUUACACACAGGACCAUGUGUGGUAUAGGCCUACCAACUCUUCUCCAUACCGUUGAUGAACGACACUAACACACCAGUGGGUCUGGGUGAUGGGUCGACAUCAUGCCAUUAAGGAGAGCCAGUGAUUGCUUUAGGGUUAUUGUACACUGAAUACGCCAAUGUAUCGGGUAGUUUAAUCUCACUAUGGCCUUGGAACCAGGGUCACCAAAUGAUCUUGACGCUCGCUGGCCAUUUGUCAUAAAAUGUCUGCGUGAUUGAAGAGGAAAUGAAGAAAAAGUUGACGGAGGAACACAACUGCUCAGUAAGAUUAGUGUCUUGGUAAAGUGAAGCUGUCCUGUAUUCUUGUAUUAGAAAAUGACAAGGCAGACUUAAGGCAAAUGCAAUCAGUUAUUUUUGGGCCAGUUACCCAGACCCAGAUUAAGCCAAUUCCUGGACUUUAAAACCACUUUUUAAUGGAGAUUCUCCAAAGAGAAUGCUUUUAGGUGAUCAAAUUUCACAAUGUCUGGACAAGUUUUUGCUACUUCCUAUUAACGUUAUUUUCUUAAACAAUCUUCGGAGAUGCACAGCGCAAUUUCAAAAAAGAAACGCUAGCUGGAACCUGGAACACCAGCUACCUUUUUCUGGGCCUGUAAAACCAGCCUUAAGAGUAUGAGAUUUGGUAAAGUAAUUAUUUACAGAUAGGAAAUCAUGGAUGACACAUAACGGAGCAAUUUCCUUGUUUAAAGACAUGCACCACCUCUUCUGUCAAACAUAACAAUUAACAGUGGAACUGAACAAACAUUGAGAUGUACACAAGCUUUGCCAAACCUUUUCAAGGUGAAGUUUAAACUAUUAUCCCAUGUCAACCUUCAUUCCUGCAUCACCAAUAAUGAGAAAUAAUAUAAAAUGUGCAGUAAAAUCAUUUAUUACAUUUCAAAAGAUUGGAACUGGCCAACUGCAAACUUAAGACCAAUGAGGGCAAUGAAAUCAUGGGUUUUAGACUAACUUCAUUUUUACGUCUGUUUUAACCAUCCCCUUUGACAAGGUCAUACGCAGCUGUUCAUGGUUAAAAUAAAGCUGCUGUGUGCCGUCCAGGGAAUUUUUUCAAGCGUGGUCAAGAGGAAUUCUUACAACUUUCCCUUAGGAAAAAAUACCCUGACAACCCUCAAAAGGAUAUUGGAUCAAAGAUGGAACCAAAGGGUUGGAAUAAAAAGACCCAUGUCAUUCGUCUGAUUCCCUCCGGGUCUUGAAGGACAUGAUGAUUCCAGUCUCACAUACGUAAACGAAUGGCUUUCCACACGUGGAUAUGACUGAUUGUCCAUGAUUUGAGUCAAAAGGCACUUAAGAAACC